This 148-nucleotide unclassified non-coding RNA is filed under the name uncultured Hyaloscyphaceae. RNAcentral's name for it is "sequence contains ITS2". The record is from RNAcentral. Lineage: Eukaryota; Fungi; Ascomycota; Leotiomycetes; Helotiales.
CAACCCUCAAGCAAUGCUUGGUAUUGGGCUUCGCUGCUUCACGUAGCGGGCCUCAAAAUCAGUGGCGGUGCCGUCGGGCCCUGAGCACAGUAAAUAUCCUCGCUACAGGGACUCGGUGGACGCUAGCCAUCAACCCCCCACUCUCUCA